RNAcentral lists this long non-coding RNA (367 nucleotides) under Rattus norvegicus (Norway rat). RNAcentral's name for it is "long non-coding RNA NONRATT014728". The record is from RNAcentral. Lineage: Eukaryota; Metazoa; Chordata; Mammalia; Rodentia; Muridae.
UCAAGGGGCAGUCGGCACUCCUGCCACCAAGUUCCCGAUUCCCAUGUAUCCAAUCCAGGUACAUCGAACGGAAAGCUUUUCUGGAGCGCGUGGACCACAGGCAGUUUGAAAUUGAGCGAGAUCUCAGGCUGAGCAAAAUGAAACCUUGAUGUUCUGGGGAGAAUUCGUAGCAGCUUAAUUCUGUUGACAAUGUGAGCUCUUCUCUGUGUCUGUGAAAUCUCCAGUGGUCUCCGUCAUGUUUCCAGCAAGUCCCUUUUUCUACGUUGCAGUUUGGUUAAUGUAUCUUAAUCUCACCUGGUUUCAUUUUACUUUUUAAAAUUUGUUUUUAAAUAAACAAAUAGAAGCCCUCUGUGAGGUUGGUGAAAGG